This 496-nucleotide ribosomal RNA is filed under the name uncultured Alphaproteobacteria bacterium. RNAcentral's name for it is "partial 16S ribosomal RNA". It matches the Rfam family "Bacterial small subunit ribosomal RNA", at positions 379 to 892 of the family's 1533-position model. The record is from RNAcentral. Lineage: Bacteria; Pseudomonadati; Pseudomonadota; Alphaproteobacteria.
AAGACUGAUCUAGCCAUGCSCGUGUGUGAUGMWGGUCUUAGKACGUAAAGCACUUUCGCCACGGAUGAUAAUGACAGUACCUGGUAAAGAAACCCCGGCUAACUCCGUGCCAGCAGCCGCGGUAAUACGSMGGGGGUUAGCGUUGUUCGGAAUUACUGGGCGUAAAGCGUACGUAGGCGGAUUGGAAAGUUCGGGGGUGAAAUCCCAGGGCUCAACCCUGGAACUGCCUCCAAAACUAUCAGUCUAGAGUKCGAGAGAGGUGAGUGGAAUUCCAAGUGUAGAGGUGAAAUUCGUAGAUAUUUGGAGGAACACCAGUGGCGAAGCCGGCUCACUCGGCUCGAUACUGACGCUGACGGUACGAAAGUGUGGGGAGCAAACAGGAUUAGAUACCCUGGUAGCWCCACACCGUAAACGAUGAAUGCCAUGCGUCGGGCAGUAUACUGUUCRUGUGACACACCUAAGCGWAUAAGCAUUCCGCUGGGGAGUACGUCGCAAC